Gasterosteus aculeatus (three-spined stickleback) is the source of this 1113-nucleotide long non-coding RNA. Lineage: Eukaryota; Metazoa; Chordata; Actinopteri; Perciformes; Gasterosteidae. The record is from Ensembl.
AUGCCGCGUUUGUGGAACACACUGAUUAGCACCGCUGAGGGAGGCGGGCUGCUCCCUGCAGGAGAACGUGAUGGUGUCUCUGGCCAACGCGCGCCUUCUGCUUCCUGUGUUCCAGCUGGAGAGGAGGAAGUGGCAGCUGGAGAGGAGGAAGUGGCAGCUGAGGAGGCCGGCGAAGAGGAGGCUGCCGCUGAUGGCGAAGGAGAGACCGUAGCCGAGGUCGUGGCCGAGGUUGCAGAGGUCGUCGCUGAGGCGGCGGAGGAGGUCGCCGAGGCGGCAGAGGAAGUUACAGAGGUCGCUCGUGAAGUGGAGGCGGUCGCGGGAGAGGUGGCUAAGGCGGCCGAAGCCGCCCCCCAAGCCGCCGCAGAACCAGCCGCCGAGGAGCCCGACAGCAACGUGCCGCUGGCUGCUGCUUCUGCUCUAGAAGUACCAAAGAUCAUUGAAGUGACGGAAGAGUUAGCCGCAGCCAUUCAGGACAUCGAUGAGUCCCUUGCACAAGUUGAGGAGGCUACCAAGCCAGCAGAAGAGUCCCCAGCACCAGUAGAGCCUGCACCAGUUGAAGACACCACAGCACCAGUAGAGGUUGCACCAGUUGAAGAGGCCCCAGCACCAGUAGAGGUUGUUGAAGAGUCCCCAGUAGAGGCUGCACCAGUUGAAGAGGCCCCAGCACCAGUAGAGGUUGUUGAAGAGUCCCCAGUAGAGGCUGCACCAGUUGAAGAGGCCCCAGCACCAGUAGAGGCUGCACCAGUUGAAGAGGCCCCGGCACCAGUAGAGGCUGCACCAGUUGUUGAGGAAGUCUUGGUACCAUCUGAACCUGAAGUUACCACAGCACUUGCUGAGGAACCAGUCACCACCGCAGUUGAUGAAGAGGCUCUGGCAACCAUCGCUGCAGAAGUAGCGACCCCUAUGGUGGUUGAAGAAGCGGCUACUGAGACCCUUGCAGAAGCUCCGAAGAGAGAGUACAUUGUUGUGGUCCUGGAAGGAACACCUAAAGCUGAUAAGUCACCCAAGGUGCUUGGAGUGGAGUCCAUGACUGGUAGAAUCAUCCCAACUCCAGACGACGACGUCUCUGCUUCUGAGGGUAGGCGACGCCUUCUUAGGAUGCAAAUGCAGUAG